Molecule: ribosomal RNA, 494 nt
Filed under: uncultured bacterium
Lineage: Bacteria
Description: partial 16S ribosomal RNA
Rfam family: Bacterial small subunit ribosomal RNA
Source: RNAcentral
ACGAACGCUGGCGGCGUGCCUAAUACAUGCAAGUAGAACGCUGAAGGAGGAGCUUGCUUCUCUGGAUGAGUUGCGAACGGGUGAGUAACGCGUAGGUAACCUGCCUGGUAGCGGGGGAUAACUAUUGGAAACGAUAGCUAAUACCGCAUAAUAGUAGAUGUCGCAUGACAUUUGCUUAAAAGGUGCAAUUGCAUCACUACCAGAUGGACCUGCGUUGUAUUAGCUAGUUGGUGAGGUAACGGCUCACCAAGGCAACGAUACAUAGCCGACCUGAGAGGGUGAUCGGCCACACUGGGACUGAGACACGGCCCAGACGCCUACGGGAGGCAGCAGUAGGGAAUCUUCGGCAAUGGACGGAAGUCUGACCGAGCAACGCCGCGUGAGUGAAGAAGGGUUUCGGAUCGUAAAGCUCUGUUGUAAGAGAAGAACGAGUGUGAGAGUGGAAAGUUCACACUGUGACGGUAUCUUACCAGAAAGGGACGGCUAACUACGUG